ACAAAACAAAAGCAAAAGCAAAAGCAAAAGCAAAAGAACCUACCGUCUCAAUGUCUUCCAUGUUCACCGUCAUUCUCUUUUUCCCACAAAAUCAUUGCUUUAAACCAAUAUCAUAACACAACGAUCUGUCCCCAAAAUCUAUCAUCUCACAUGCGUCGCACCACAAGGUCUAGCACUAGAUGGAGGGAAAAAUUACUUCCGGAAACGAAGGAAACUAACCCCGCUGCUGAUCAUGGAGAUGAAGGACCCAUCUCCGACGGCUUCUAGAUACUCCACUAUAACAAAUAGUAUGUCAUGGUAAUUUCAAUCGCUUUGUCUUUUGCCCAAUUUAGACAUUGUAACAAUCUGGAAAGGAAUUCAAAUCUUCAAUUUAAAGAUGAGUUAGUGAUUUUUUGAAAUAUUCAGAUCUAAA
Molecule: long non-coding RNA, 412 nt
Filed under: Panax ginseng (ginseng)
Lineage: Eukaryota; Viridiplantae; Streptophyta; Magnoliopsida; Apiales; Araliaceae
Description: long non-coding RNA (PGIN_LNC004590)
Source: RNAcentral